This 253-nucleotide ribosomal RNA is filed under the name uncultured bacterium. Its description in RNAcentral is "partial 16S ribosomal RNA". It matches the Rfam family "Bacterial small subunit ribosomal RNA", at positions 524 to 776 of the family's 1533-position model. The record is from RNAcentral.
UACGAAGGGGGCUAGCGUUGUUCGGAAUUACUGGGCGUAAAGCGCGCGCAGGCGGUCUUCCAAGUCAGUGGUGAAAGCCCGGAGCUCAACUCCGGAACUGCCAUUGAAACUGUAAGACUUGAGUACGAGAGAGGUGAGUGGAAUUCCCAGUGUAGAGGUGAAAUUCGUAGAUAUUGGGAAGAACACCGGUGGCGAAGGCGGCGACCUGGUCCUUGACUGACGCUGAGGCGCGAAAGCGUGGGGAGCAAACAGG